Molecule: ribosomal RNA, 119 nt
Organism: Macadamia integrifolia
Lineage: Eukaryota; Viridiplantae; Streptophyta; Magnoliopsida; Proteales; Proteaceae
Source: RefSeq, a predicted model, not a curated record
GGGUGCGAUCAUACCAACACAGCUGCACCGAAUCCCGUCCAAACUUCGUAGUUAAGUGUGCUUGGGUGAGAGUAGUAUUAGGAUAGGUGACCCCCUGGGAAGUCCUCAUGUCGCACCUU